This 303-nucleotide ribosomal RNA is filed under the name Escherichia coli. RNAcentral's name for it is "partial 23S ribosomal RNA". It matches the Rfam family "Bacterial large subunit ribosomal RNA", at positions 1 to 291 of the family's 2925-position model. Lineage: Bacteria; Pseudomonadati; Pseudomonadota; Gammaproteobacteria; Enterobacterales; Enterobacteriaceae. The record is from RNAcentral.
GGGUUGUGAGGUUAAGCGACUAAGCGUACACGGUGGAUGCCCUGGCAGUCAGAGGCGAUGAAGGACGUGCUAAUCUGCGAUAAGCGUCGGUGAGGUGAUAUGAACCGUUAUAACCGGCGAUUUCCGAAUGGGGAAACCCAGUGUGUUUCGACACACUAUCAUUAACUGAAUCCAUAGGUUAAUGAGGCGAACCGGGGGAACUGAAACAUCUAAGUACCCCGAGGAAAAGAAAUCAACCGAGAUUCCCCCAGUAGCGGCGAGCGAACGGGGAGGAGCCCAGAGCCUGAAUCAGUGUGUGUGUUA